Molecule: ribosomal RNA, 224 nt
Filed under: uncultured bacterium
Lineage: Bacteria
Description: partial 16S ribosomal RNA
Rfam family: Bacterial small subunit ribosomal RNA
Source: RNAcentral
GAUCAUGGCUCAGGAUGAACGCUAGCUACAGGCUUAACACAUGCAAGUCGAGGGGCAGCAUGGUCUUAGCUUGCUAAGGCCGAUGGCGACCGGCGCACGGGUGAGUAACGCGUAUCCAACCUGCCUUACACUCUUGGACAGCCUUCUGAAAGUAAGACUAAUGCCCAAUGACAUCCCACGAAGGCAUCCGAAUGGGAUUAAAGAUUUAUCGGUGAUGGAUGGGG